Molecule: ribosomal RNA, 253 nt
Filed under: uncultured bacterium
Lineage: Bacteria
Description: partial 16S ribosomal RNA
Rfam family: Bacterial small subunit ribosomal RNA
Source: RNAcentral
UACGGAGGAUCCGAGCGUUAUCCGGAUUUAUUGGGUUUAAAGGGUGCGUAGGCGGUUUGAUAAGUUAGAGGUGAAAUGUCGGGGCUCAACCCCGAAACUGCCUCUAAUACUGUUGGACUAGAGAAUAGUUGCGGUAGGCGGAAUGUAUGGUGUAGCGGUGAAAUGCUUAGAGAUCAUACAGAACACCGAUUGCGAAGGCAGCUUACCAAACUAUAUCUAACGUUGAGGCACGAAAGCGUGGGUAGCAAACAGG